UUCCUGUACGAUUACUGAAGUUAAGCAACGUCGAACCUGGUCAGUACUUAGAUGGGUAACCACUUGAGAAUACCAGGUGCUGUCA
Molecule: non-coding RNA, 85 nt
Organism: Acanthosepion pharaonis
Lineage: Eukaryota; Metazoa; Mollusca; Cephalopoda; Sepiida; Sepiidae
Source: the annotation of a GenBank genome assembly